RNAcentral lists this long non-coding RNA (1146 nucleotides) under Apteryx haastii (Great spotted kiwi). RNAcentral describes it as "lncRNA (ENSAHAG00000012452.1)". Lineage: Eukaryota; Metazoa; Chordata; Aves; Apterygiformes; Apterygidae. The record is from RNAcentral.
UGCUGUAUUUCCUUCUAAGACUCGGUCUCUUCAUGAAGCAUUUUUGAGGCUCUCUUCCUGUUAGUAACCACAUGGGAAAUGCCUUCCUAGAAGUGCCAUUCAACACCUUUAAGGUGGAAAUGUUUUAGGCCUUUGAAGGUGUACAAGUACUUUACAAGCAGCUGGAUCAUGUAAGAUACCAGGAGGGUGAAGUGACUUAGCCAAGGUCUCAGCAAACCUGCAGCAAAGUCCAGCUCUUCUGCUGCCAGCCUGCAAGAUCACGUGUGACUCUGAGGAGUCAUUCAUAUUCUGAUUUGCCAUCAGAAUGUCUUCUACAGAGACAGGCAAAGAGAGAACAAGCAAUACCAGCUCGGGGAAGGCCAUGUGCGAGAAGCGAUUCCUGUGGGCUGCAAGAAAUCCUGCGAGGAGGCAGAGGAGGCAGGAGCUGAGGAAAGAAAGGAUGAGCUGGAAGCAAACAAGAACCCGGGGCCCUUCAUCAGAGACGGAGGUGCUGGCGACCGCCUCCUGCCCGGUGCCCCUUGGGGACAGCGCUGCUGCCAGUGCGCCAGCGCGGGGCUACCCAGGAGCAGCAAACUUGGCCCGUGGUGGGGUUUCGAUGUUGCAGCCAGGCAGCCUGACCCCCAAGCAGCAAGGUAACAGACGUGGUUAUUAUAGCUGCCAGGGUCGCAAUUCAGAGGAGCUGAUGUCCUCUGGACGCUUUGGGCCUGUGAUAUUAAUAAAAAAAAAAAAAAAAAGCCCAAGUGAAUUAGGUCCCUGAAGACUCAACACUAAAUCACUGCCCUAGUCUCACCCUGAAGCUUUCAUCUCGUUUUAGCAGCCAGGAGAUGACUCCUUGCUGAGCCUGCUUUGGCACUUCAGUGUUGAGGGUUUCAGAGGCCGCAAAGUUUCCAGCCAUGCUGCCUCUGCUCCAGGGUGAAGCAAAGCCUCGGGACGGCUGCAUUUCUCAGCUGCUCAGACUGCUCCUACAAAAGCCAGCCCCAGGUUGGGCUGUAAAUAAGCUGAGGUGUAGCUGGAGUUUGCCACCRACUUUUGCUGAAAGGGGGAGGAGGACAGCACAAGCUCUAUUUGGCACCAGGCCUGCCUGAACAUCAGGUUUUCUGUUGCUUUUAACACAGCCUGUGUCAGAAAAUGACUCUGACGUGGGAC